CCGUGCUAGAUGGGGAGGUAGCGGUGCCCUGUAACCUGCAACCCGCUAUAGCAGGAUUGAAUACCCGUGUUGAGGCCCCGAUUCUGUGGGGCUGGCUCCGGCAAGUAGUGUUGACUGCCGGGUCCUGGGCAAUUGGCCUCUGUGAACCCCGUCAGAUCCGGGAGGAAGCAGCGGUAAGCAGAAGCGUCAAUGUGCCCCAGGGGAGCCUGGCACGAGCCAACUACCGGGGUAUCGCCCAUGGGUCGGUGUCGAGAACGGGGCACGG
RNAcentral lists this signal recognition particle RNA (265 nucleotides) under Bacillota bacterium. RNAcentral's name for it is "signal recognition particle sRNA large type". It matches the Rfam family "Bacterial large signal recognition particle RNA". From Rfam's summary of the family: The signal recognition particle (SRP) is a universally conserved ribonucleoprotein involved in the co-translational targeting of proteins to membranes. Archaeal SRP consists of a 7S RNA and homologues of the eukaryotic SRP19 and SRP54 proteins. In most bacteria, the SRP consists of a 4.5S RNA and the Ffh protein (a homologue of the eukaryotic SRP54 protein). The record is from RNAcentral. Lineage: Bacteria; Bacillati; Bacillota.